AACGCACAUUGCGCCCUCUGGUAUUCCGGGGGGCAUGCCUGUUCGAGCGUCAUUACAACCCUCAAGCUCUGCUUGGUGUUGGGCUCGCCCUGUAGGGCCUGCCUCAAAGUCAGUGGCGGCACCGUCUGACCCUAAGCGUAGUAAUACUAGCCGCUUAUUGGAGUCGGGCGCCUGCUUGUCAACAACCCCCACUUUAAAGGUUGACCUCGGAUCAGGUAGGGAUACCCGCUGAACUUAA
RNAcentral lists this unclassified non-coding RNA (238 nucleotides) under uncultured fungus. RNAcentral's name for it is "partial contains 5.8S ribosomal RNA, internal transcribed spacer 2, and large subunit ribosomal RNA". The stretch from base 1 to 52 matches the Rfam family "5.8S ribosomal RNA", at positions 103 to 154 of the family's 154-position model. Lineage: Eukaryota; Fungi. The record is from RNAcentral.